UACGGAGGGUGCAAGCGUUAUCCGGAUUCACUGGGUUUAAAGGGUGCGUAGGCGGGUAUAUAAGUCAGUGGUGAAAGCUCCGGGCUUAACUUGGAAACUGCCAUUGAUACUGUAUAUCUUGAAUAUCGUAGAGGUUAGCGGAAUGUUGCAUGUAGCGGUGAAAUGCUUAGAUAUGUUACAGAACACCAAUUGCGAAGGCAGCUAACUAUGCGAUGAUUGACGCUGAGGCACGAAAGCGUGGGGAGCAAACAGG
This 253-nucleotide ribosomal RNA is filed under the name uncultured bacterium. RNAcentral's name for it is "partial 16S ribosomal RNA". It matches the Rfam family "Bacterial small subunit ribosomal RNA", at positions 524 to 776 of the family's 1533-position model. The record is from RNAcentral.